CAAAGUUUUGGUCCUAAACUUACUAUUGUUUUUUAUCAAAGUUACACAUGCAAGCAUCUACAUGCCAGUGAAAAUGCCCACAAACCCUAGACAGCUAACUGGAGCAGGUAUCAGGCUCAACCGCCACAGCCCAAAACACCUUGCUAUGCCACACCCCCACGGGCCUUCAGCAGUGAUUAACAUUAAGAUAUAAGCGAAAGCUUGACUUAGUUAUGAUUAACAUGGUCGGUAAAUUUCGUGCCAGCCACCGCGGUUACACGAAAGACUUAAAACAAUAGGCUUCGGCGUAAAGCGUGAACAGAGAAUACGCCUAAAUAUUAAAGAAAAAUUAUAAUAAAGCUGUAAAACGCCCAAACUAACAAGAACCCCAAGAAUCUUUAAACAAAAGGCUGCUUAACUCACGAAAGCCAAGAGACAAACUGGGAUUAGAUACCCCACUAUGCUUGGCCCUAAACACAGACAAUACUCACACACUAUUGUCCGCCAGAGAACUACAAGCGAAAAACUCGAAACUCCAAGGACUUGGCGGUGCCUCAUAUCAACCUAGAGGAGCCUGUCCUAUAAUCGAUACCCCACGUUUAACCUUACCACCUUUUGCCAUUAGCCUAUAUACCGCCGUCGUCAGCCUACCUCAUGAGAGAAAAACAGUAGGCAAAAUAGUUAACUACGCACACGUCAGGUCAAGGUGUAGCACAUAAGAUGGAAGAGAUGGGCUACAUUUUCUGCCACAGAACACACGAACAGUCUGAUGAAACUCGGACUUAAAGGUGGAUUUAGUAGUAAGAUAGACAAGAGAACCUAUCUUAAACUUGCCCUGAGGCGCGCACACACCGCCC
RNAcentral lists this non-coding RNA (836 nucleotides) under Amphiglossus sp. MMB-2003. Its description in RNAcentral is "partial 12S ribosomal RNA". It matches the Rfam family "Bacterial small subunit ribosomal RNA", at positions 189 to 1395 of the family's 1533-position model. Lineage: Eukaryota; Metazoa; Chordata; Lepidosauria; Squamata; Scincidae. The record is from RNAcentral.